UAUCUAUGAUGUGGGCAUUAUAAUAAAAGUGAUUUGAAACGAUCCCAUGCUUCAUAAAAGGAUUCAAUAUCCUUUUGAUAAAAGUUAAAAAUUUCAGGCCUUAGUUC
RNAcentral lists this small nucleolar RNA (107 nucleotides) under Ricinus communis (castor bean). RNAcentral's name for it is "Plant small nucleolar RNA R71". It matches the Rfam family "Plant small nucleolar RNA R71". From Rfam's summary of the family: R71 is a member of the C/D box family of snoRNAs containing the C (UGAUGA) and D (CUGA) box motifs. Lineage: Eukaryota; Viridiplantae; Streptophyta; Magnoliopsida; Malpighiales; Euphorbiaceae. The record is from Rfam by way of RNAcentral.